GUCCCCUGAAAGUCAUUGCAACUCAAGUCCAAAUAGUUAAGAUGUUGCAACUCAAGCAAUGAAUGAUUAAUUUUACCUCUCAAGGGCUUGUUACUAUCACCAAGCUCGGAGACAUGAAGAUCAAGCAUAGUGACGUGACCAGUUUGGAAGCUGCACUGGAUUCCUCUCCAUUUGCAACAAUCUCUCUUGGCUUCUUCACUCCCCCAAGAAGAGAG
Molecule: unclassified non-coding RNA, 215 nt
Filed under: Hevea brasiliensis (rubber tree)
Lineage: Eukaryota; Viridiplantae; Streptophyta; Magnoliopsida; Malpighiales; Euphorbiaceae
Source: RNAcentral